RNAcentral lists this ribosomal RNA (252 nucleotides) under uncultured bacterium. RNAcentral's name for it is "partial 16S ribosomal RNA". It matches the Rfam family "Bacterial small subunit ribosomal RNA", at positions 525 to 776 of the family's 1533-position model. The record is from RNAcentral.
ACGGAGGGUGCAAGCAUUGAUCGGAAUUACUGGGCGUAAAGGGCGCGUAGGCGGCCGAGAAAGUCAGAUGUGAAAUUCCGGGGCUCAACCCCGGAGCUGCAUUUGAAACUUCUUGGCUAGAGGAUGGUUAGGGAAAACGGAAUUCCACGUGUAGCGGUGAAAUGCGUAGAUAUGUGGAAGAACACCAGUGGUGAAGACGGUUUUCUGGGCCAAACCUGACGCUGAGGCGCGAAAGCUAGGGGAGCAAACAGG